RNAcentral lists this ribosomal RNA (465 nucleotides) under uncultured bacterium. Its description in RNAcentral is "partial 16S ribosomal RNA". It matches the Rfam family "Bacterial small subunit ribosomal RNA", at positions 28 to 507 of the family's 1533-position model. The record is from RNAcentral.
GACGAACGCUGGCGGCGUGCUUAACACAUGCAAGUCGAACGGAAAACCUCUUCUUGCGGGGUCCUCGACUAACGAAUGGGUGACUCACACGCAACUUACCCCCCCUUCUCUUCUGACUCCGCCAGAGUAGCUGUGUUUACUACUGUUUAGCACUCCCCUCAUGGGUGGUGGUUGGAAGGUUUUUUCGGUGUAGGUUGGGCCCGCGGCCUAUCAGCUUGUUGGUGGGGUAAUGGCCUCCCAAGGCGGCACCGGGUAGCCGGCCCGGGAGGGUGGACGGCCACAGUGGGACUUGGAGACGGCCCAGACUCCCACGGGGGGCAGCAGGUGGGAAUAAUGCACAAUGGGCGGAAGCCGGAUGCAGCGACGCCGGGUGGGGGAUGACGGCCUUCGGGUUGUAAACUCCGUUCGCGAGGGACGAAGCUGUUUGUGACGGUACCUAGAGAAGAAGCACCGGCUAACUACGUG